CAGUAGCCGCGGUAAUACGGAGGGUGCAAGCGCUAAUCGGAAUUACUGGGCGUAAAGCGUGCGUAGGCGGUUCGUUAAGUCUGUUGUGAAAGCCCCGGGCUCAACCUGGGAAUGGCAAUGGAUACUGGCGAGCUAGAGUGUGUCAGAGGAUGGUGAAAUUCCCGGUGUAGCGGUGAAAUGCGUAGAGAUCGGGAGGAACAUCAGUGGCGAAGGCGGCCAUCUGGGACAACACUGACGCUGAGGCACGAAAGCGUGGGGAGCAAACAGGAUUAGAUACCCGGUAGUCCCUGUCUCUUAUACA
Molecule: ribosomal RNA, 301 nt
Filed under: uncultured bacterium
Lineage: Bacteria
Description: partial 16S ribosomal RNA
Rfam family: Bacterial small subunit ribosomal RNA
Source: RNAcentral